This 200-nucleotide ribosomal RNA is filed under the name uncultured bacterium. RNAcentral describes it as "partial 16S ribosomal RNA". It matches the Rfam family "Bacterial small subunit ribosomal RNA", at positions 29 to 257 of the family's 1533-position model. The record is from RNAcentral.
AGCGAACGCUGGCGGCAGGCCUAACACAUGCAAGUCGAACGAACUCUUCGGAGUUAGUGGCGGACGGGUGAGUAACGCGUGGGAACAUGCCUUUUGGUUCGGAAUAACUCAGGGAAACUUGUGCUAAUACCGAAUGUGCCCUUCGGGGAAAGAUUUAUCGCCAUUAGAGCGGCCCGCGUCUGAUUAGCUAGUUGGUGAGG